This is a long non-coding RNA of Cyprinus carpio carpio, 3366 nucleotides long. Lineage: Eukaryota; Metazoa; Chordata; Actinopteri; Cypriniformes; Cyprinidae. The record is from Ensembl.
GGAAAGAAGCUGAUGAUGGCUGGUUUGUGAGCUCCAGCAUGUGGCCUUGUGAGCACGCUGACACUGAAAAUUGAAAACAUGUCCUGACACUCUUAGCUGGGAAGACAUCACACAGAGACAGCUUUGAGAUUCUUACCAGCUUUCUCCGGAAUCUGACAACCAAUAAGCAGGGUUUUACUCUGCAGUGGUGUGUGAAAGAGAGACUGUUUCUGCCAUGAAGUCUCAGUCAAAUUGAAAUGACGCUGGCCUUUGAGAUGUCCAUCAUCUUUAAUAAUACCAAAUUACUGGCCCCUGCUGGAGCCUCCCAGCCACUUCUCACUACACUCAGACGACGGCAUGCCGAUGUUGAGGAUGUAACGGAGAGCGUGUACUUGGUGGGCAGUUGUCAGCUUCUCUUUACGGCUCUCAUACUAAACCCCAAAUUGAGCAUUCACUACACAGCUGUCAACAAAAGCCAAGAACAACUGUUUCAGCGGGACCUGGUUGUUGCAAAACAAGCAGUGGGCAUGAGAGAUUUGGGCAAGCUAGCAUACACACGUGCGUGUGAACAGUCCCAAAAGUUACAAACAUCUCGGUCAAAUCAAAGGUUAAUUUAUAUGUAAACUGAGACUUCUUGAAACUGGUUGCACAAUUUUUUUGUGACGUUUGUUUUUUAUAUAUAUAUAUAUAUAUAUAUAUAUAUAUAUAUAUAUAUAUUUAUUUAUAUAUAUUUUUUUUUUUUUUAUAUAUUUGUUAAAACAUUAUCGAAGGACAAUACUUUUAAGUUUUGAGUUGUAAAAUAAAAAGAGGUUUUGAAAUAUUUAGUUUCACGUUCUUAACAAUUUCAACUUAAAGUUCUAGUCGGUGUCAAUUACUCUCAUAAUAAAUAAUAAUGUUCAAAUAUAUGUUGGCUUUCUCAAGCCCAACAAAGACCAAGAAGAGAAACAACCAAUUUAGUAUGUAACAAAACUAAUAAAAUUAUAAGGCAUGAAAAAUAGGGAUUUUAUUUGCCCUAAACCCUGUUAAUAUUUGUCAGUAAGGUGCGUUCACUGAUUCUACCUUCUCUCUUUUCUAUAUCAUACUUUUCAUAUGAACUCAGUUAGCUACACAUGCUUACAUUCAUAAAAUUUAAACGUUAUUUCUAAUUUAUUUAAUAAAUGUAACUUUAUUAAUUUUCACAAUUAUUUAUUAAUGUCACACACACACCUAGUGCCCUUUGACUUUGAACAGUUCCAUGAUAAUAUGUCUGUAACAUUUACCACUCUCAUCUUUUGUCUAUUAUUGAUUUUUAUUUCCACUUCACUUUUAUCCAAAGAGACGGAACUAUUUGCACUGUAUUAUGGGACAAUAUGGACAAUAUUCAUACAAUACUAUAACCUAGAAAUAAUUUAAAGGGGUCACUUGCAAGUCGCAGCAGCACGAAUUAUGUGCCCAGCAACAUCUGAUUCAAAUAUUAUGUUAAUUAACAGUGAGUGGUGGUUUCAGACAUUAGCCACAGUGUCGCACUCGUACUGACUCUUAUUCUGCCUGAAAGAAUGAAAAGGCCGUGCUGGAGGUGGAGCGAUUCGACCAAUCAGAUGAAAGCAGCGUUUCAGCGCCGCCCACAAGUGCGAAUGAAAUAUUGAAGACAUAAACCGAUUUGUAAACCUCAAAUGAAAAAUUAGAAAUUGAACCAAAAUCUAAUUUUCCGUUUGUUAAACUAAACGGAAAAACGAAUAAACGAGACAUUUUUCCAUUUCUUAUAUUUCAUUCAAAAUAGGAAAUGAAGUGAUCAAAACUUACACGGACCACGGACCUUCUGCAAUGUGUACAUUUCAGUUUGUUAAAUAAUUACAAAUAAAUGUAAAAUGAAUACCAAUCUGCAGUCAGCAUUUUUUUCAUUUUUUUAUUUUGUCCACAUUUUUCAAGGGAGACAACACAAUGUUUUUGUUUUUUAAGUGCCAUUUCCAUGCAUGUCUGUCUUUAAAAAAAAAAUGAGAACACGUUGCUGGAUGUAUGACACUUUGUCUGACCCCUAUAUUAAGUCAUGGCCCAUGGAAGUCUGUGUGGACAAGUUGUUGUUUUCUUUUCGCUGUCGACACUGCUUUGGUAAAAUGGGCCUUAAAUAUUUCUAGACAAUAAAUAGACUUUAACAACCACUGUCUUCUGGUGAUCCGGCGGGACUGUCAGUUGGCACACUUCUUGGGUGCAGAAGAUUCUGGAAAUGGGCAGUUUCUGUGCCCACAAGGUGUAGGCAGAUGGGACUUUUAGCAAUUUGGUACACAGAGGACUGCCCCUCAGGUGUCGCAGUGAUUCCGGAAGGGCUGAUUGUUGUGGCUGACUUUGGAAAGUUCUGAUUGGCCAGUAAAUCUUUAUUACUUUGUCUUUUUAUUACUUGUUUCUCUUUAUUGAUAAAACAAGUAGCUACAGUUUAUGGGGGUAAAUUGUCAUAAUUGAUGAACCAAAUUCAGAAGAUAUCCCUCAGUGAGGUCUACUUCAGAUUAAUCUUAAUUUCUUUUUAGAAGCUGUCUGAUAGUUGCUUGGCAUGAAAAGUGUAAAACCUGAUGCCUUGUCUCUCUACAGGUCAGAUUAAAGCAUGGUCUCUUGACCUCUCUGUAAACUCUUACCUUUCUCCUCAGGGAUUACUUGUGCUGUAUGACUUUGUCUACUCAGCAUUUCAAUUACCUCAUCAGACACAGAAAUGACUGUAGUCCCUAGAAGAACAAGCCAUGAAUAUUACAAAGAAAACCUCAUUGUUUUUUGCUGCCUCAGCAAGUUUUAACAAUGCAAAAACAAUGGACUUUGGGAUGUUGCUGACAGCAAAUGCCUUUUAUACUCUUUUAUUUCGUUGUGUGUUUUGAGUAAAACUAGUUUCUAGUUUUGAGUAAAAAAAAGUUCUGCGCUGCUAGUGCUCUUGGUUAGCCACAAUCACAGACAGUCAGAAACAAAGAAAAAAGAGACCAAAACACAAACAACCUAAGAUUUUAAUGAGUAUAUUAUUUACUCAUGUAAUUAAUCAGAUAAUGGUCCUGUAUUAUUUAAAUACAGAGGCAGUUAUAUAUUCUCAAUAUAUCAACUUAAUAUUUCUGUGGUGCCUAAGGCACAGUUAUGUAAGUGUCUAGGUAGGUCAAGUUAGCAUUUAGAGAUAAAAAAAAAAAAUUAAAUUAAGUUUUGUCUAUGCAGUACACUUUCAUUUUGAUAAAUAUAUAAGUCUAGGAGCUAGAACAAUUGGGUUUUGAAGUUUAUGUUUUUAUUAUUUUAGUUUUUUUACUAUUAUUAUUUAUUUAUUUUCUUCCAUAACAGACGUCUAUGUAAUGUAAGAGUGACUAACUCAGACACCAAAAGAGUUUGCUGUGUUUAGAUCGGUGCUGGUGGCACUUUCAGCCUGUGUAUGUUUGUGUGAAGCUG